GCUUACGACCACACCGGCCUGAGUACGCCUGAUCUCGUCUGAUCUCGGAAGCUAAGCAGGGUCGGGCCUGGUUAGUACUUGGAUGGGAGACUUCCUGGGAAUACCAGGUGAUGUAAGCU
Molecule: ribosomal RNA, 119 nt
Organism: Oncorhynchus tshawytscha (Chinook salmon)
Lineage: Eukaryota; Metazoa; Chordata; Actinopteri; Salmoniformes; Salmonidae
Source: Ensembl